This is a non-coding RNA of Trichuris trichiura (human whipworm), 73 nucleotides long. The record is from Rfam. Lineage: Eukaryota; Metazoa; Nematoda; Enoplea; Trichinellida; Trichuridae.
GUCCUUGUAAUGUAGCGGUUAUCACGUCUGCUUUACACGCAGAAGGUCUCUGGUUCGAUCCCAGGCAAGGACA